UUUUAACACGAAGUGAGUGGCGAACGGGUGAGUAACACGUGGGUAACCUGCCCAGAAGUAGGGGAUAACACCUGGAAACAGAUGCUAAUACCGUAUAACAGAGAAAACCGCAUGGUUUUCUUUUAAAAGAUGGCUCUGCUAUCACUUCUGGAUGGACCCGCGGCGUAUUAGCUAGUUGGUGAGGA
Molecule: ribosomal RNA, 185 nt
Filed under: Pediococcus pentosaceus
Lineage: Bacteria; Bacillati; Bacillota; Bacilli; Lactobacillales; Lactobacillaceae
Description: partial 16S ribosomal RNA
Rfam family: Bacterial small subunit ribosomal RNA
Source: RNAcentral